CAUGAUAAAAGUCUUUAUUACUAUUUUGAAUAGUCCUAUGUUAAAUAUCUAUUUUUCUUUAAUAACUAAACUUUUACACAUAUUUUUCUAUUUCUCUCCAUAUUUAAUGACAUUAUUAUGGACAAUUUUGUCAUUUCAUUCAUCUUCUUAAUAUGCGUAAAAAAUUCAUCAGAAUUUUUACCUUGAGACGGAGGGAGGGAGUACUAUUUUU
RNAcentral lists this long non-coding RNA (211 nucleotides) under Panax ginseng (ginseng). RNAcentral's name for it is "long non-coding RNA (PGIN_LNC017724)". The record is from RNAcentral. Lineage: Eukaryota; Viridiplantae; Streptophyta; Magnoliopsida; Apiales; Araliaceae.